This 207-nucleotide ribosomal RNA is filed under the name Triticum aestivum (bread wheat). Its description in RNAcentral is "partial small subunit ribosomal RNA". Lineage: Eukaryota; Viridiplantae; Streptophyta; Magnoliopsida; Poales; Poaceae. The record is from RNAcentral.
AUGCUAACUGAAGAUGAGUUUGAGACGGCGUUGGCUACGCUGUUAGAUAAGUACGAUCUGAGAAAGCACCCCUACAUGACCCAAAUAUACGACAUCAGAAAGGGACAGACUAAGCAUUUGCGGAAGAAGAUUGCUUACGAGAUAGUGACAAUGAAAGGGAACAAAGGAGCUAUCCCAGAGUUUCUGUAUGAUGUGAUCGUUGACUGA